UUCUCUGAUGUUAGCGGCGGACGGGUGAGUAACACGUGGAUAACCUACCUAUAAGACUGGGAUAACUUCGGGAAACCGGAGCUAAUACCGGAUAAUAUUUUGAACCGCAUGGUUCAAAAGUGAAAGACGGUCUUGCUGUCACUUAUAGAUGGAUCCGCGCUGCAUUAGCUAGUUGGUAAGGUAACGGCUUACCAAGGCAACGAUGCAUAGCCGACCUGAGAGGGUGAUCGGCCACACUGGAACUGAGACACGGUCCAGACUCCUACGGGAGGCAGCAGUAGGGAAUCUUCCGCAAUGGGCGAAAGCCUGACGGAGCAACGCCGCGUGAGUGAUGAAGGUCUUCGGAUCGUAAAACUCUGUUAUUAGGGAAGAACAUAUGUGUAAGUAACUGUGCACAUCUUGACGGUACCUAAUCAGAAAGCCACGGCUAACUACGUGCCAGCAGCCGCGGUAAUACGUAGGUGGCAAGCGUUAUCCGGAAUUAUUGGGCGUAAAGCGCGCGUAGGCGGUUUUUUAAGUCUGAUGUGAAAGCCCACGGCUCAACCGUGGAGGGUCAUUGGAAACUGGAAAACUUGAGUGCAGAAGAGGAAAGUGGAAUUCCAUGUGUAGCGGUGAAAUGCGCAGAGAUAUGGAGGAACACCAGUGGCGAAGGCGACUUUCUGGUCUGUAACUGACGCUGAUGUGCGAAAGCGUGGGGAUCAAACAGGAUUAGAUACCCUGGUAGUCCACGCCGUAAACGAUGAGUGCUAAGUGUUAGGGGGUUUCCGCCCCUUAGUGCUGCAGCUAACGCAUUAAGCACUCCGCCUGGGGAGUACGACCGCAAGGUUGAAACUCAAAGGAAUUGACGGGGACCCGCACAAGCGGUGGAGCAUGUGGUUUAAUUCGAAGCAACGCGAAGAACCUUACCAAAUCUUGACAUCCUUUGACAA
RNAcentral lists this ribosomal RNA (929 nucleotides) under Staphylococcus aureus. RNAcentral describes it as "bacterial SSU rRNA". It matches the Rfam family "Bacterial small subunit ribosomal RNA", at positions 82 to 997 of the family's 1533-position model. The record is from RNAcentral. Lineage: Bacteria; Bacillati; Bacillota; Bacilli; Caryophanales; Staphylococcaceae.